ACGAACGCUGGCGGCGUGCCUCAUACAUGCAAGUAGCACGCUGAAGAGAGGAGCUUGCUCUUCUUGGAUGAGUUGCGAACGGGUGAGUAACGCGUAGGUAACCUGCCUUGUAGCGGGGGAUAACUAUUGGAAACGAUAGCUAAUACCGCAUAACAAUGGAUGACUCAUGUCAUUUAUUUGAAAGGGGCAAUUGCUCCACUACAAGAUGGACCUGCGUUGUAUUAGCUAGUAGGUGAGGUAAUGGCUCACCUAGGCGACGAUACAUAGCCGACCUGAGAGGGUGAUCGGCCACACGGGGACUGAGACACGGCCCAGACUCCUACGGGAGGCAGCAGUAGGGAAUCUUCGGCAAUGGGGGCAACCCUGACCGAGCAACGCCGCGUGAGUGAAGAAGGUUUUCGGAUCGUAAAGCUCUGUUGUAAGUCAAGAACGGGUGUGAGAGUGGAAAGUUCACACUGUGACGGUAGCUUACCAGAAAGGGACGGCUAACUACGUG
RNAcentral lists this ribosomal RNA (496 nucleotides) under uncultured bacterium. RNAcentral describes it as "partial 16S ribosomal RNA". It matches the Rfam family "Bacterial small subunit ribosomal RNA", at positions 29 to 507 of the family's 1533-position model. The record is from RNAcentral.